GCUUAUUUGCGCAGUAUAGGUGGGAGGCUAAGAUAAUAUAUUUGCGGAUAUACAGAAGCCAAUAGUGAGAUACCACUCUAAAUAAGCUAAAAUUCUAACUCUGAAAGCCGUUAACCGGCCAGAGAACAGUUCCAGGUGGGCAGUUUGACUGGGGCGGUCGCCUCCUAAAAGGUAACGGAGGCGUACAAAGGUUUCCUCAGACUGGUCGGAAAUCAGUCUUAGAGUAUAAAGGCAUAAGGAAGCUUGACUGCAAGACCUACAAGUCGAGCAGAGACGAAAGUCGGUCUUAGUGAUCCGACAGUGCUGAGUG
Molecule: ribosomal RNA, 310 nt
Filed under: Acanthococcus antarcticus
Lineage: Eukaryota; Rhodophyta; Florideophyceae; Gigartinales; Cystocloniaceae
Description: partial 23S ribosomal RNA
Rfam family: Bacterial large subunit ribosomal RNA
Source: RNAcentral